CCAGCAGUGACUCAAGACUUGAAGUGGACUUGAAGAAGACUGUAAAAGGCUGGAGCUCUCUUGCUUUCUUCACCAACUCCAUCCCCCUCCUUACGUAGGGCUUCCCUACCCCAGCUAGAAGUCACCUGGGCUUUCAGAGAAGAGCAGAAUAUUCCACGUGAAGAGAGCAGCAUUAGUCAAAGUAGCUUUGCAACUGACAACAGAGGAAGAAGGGAACCAGGGCCCGGGGACUAUUCCUAAGGAUUAAAAAACUGCUUCCUGUUUCUACACCCAUUCUUUACCUCAUCAGCCCUCAUGACCAUCAUCUGGGGAAGCAAUUCUUGUGGAGAAGAGGUUUACUAUCCCCACCAACCACCAACCAGCUGCUGCUUUCAUGGUAGGCAAAGUCAGCCUAGCUGAAGCAGCCGGGCGUCCUGGGAGAGAUAAAGGAGGCAAGCAAGUUCAGCCACCACCAUCACUUUGACUGCCAUCUUCUCUUGGACACUGAUGGAGAUAGCCCAGCAUCAAGAACACAAGAGACUUGGGAAUAGCAGCAUCCCCCAUUACCAUCUGCUUUGUGGUUGUACCCUAUGGACCACCCGGCCUUUCCAUCUGACUUGCAGCUGAAACCUUCCAUAUGUGUGGUCUUCCCUGUUAGAAUGUG
Non-coding RNA from Phascolarctos cinereus (koala), 643 nucleotides. Lineage: Eukaryota; Metazoa; Chordata; Mammalia; Diprotodontia; Phascolarctidae. The record is from RefSeq and is a predicted model, not a curated record.